Molecule: ribosomal RNA, 417 nt
Filed under: Dailognatha quadricollis
Lineage: Eukaryota; Metazoa; Arthropoda; Insecta; Coleoptera; Tenebrionidae
Description: partial 16S ribosomal RNA
Source: RNAcentral
AGGUCUGACCUGCCCAAUGAUUAUUUUGAAUGGCCGCAGUAUUUUGACUGUGCAAAGGUAGCAUAAUCAUUAGUUUUUUAAUUGAAAGCUGGAAUGAAUGGUUUGAUGAAAAAAUAACUGUCUCAAUAAAAUUUAUUUAGAAUUUUAAUUUUAAGUGAGAAAGCUUAAAUGUUUUAUGAAGACGAGAAGACCCUAUAGAGUUUAAUAAUAUCAUUAUUAAUUAUUUUAGGUUUUAUUUUUAAUAUUAAUAUAAAUAUUAUUUUGUUGGGGUGACGGAAAAAUUUAAGUAACUUUUUAUGUUUUAUAACAUUAAUUUAUGGGUUUUUGAUCCUGAUUUUUUGGAUUAUAAGAUUAAAUUACCUUAGGGAUAACAGCGUAAUUUCUUUGGAGAGUUCUUAUCGAUAGAGAAGUUUGCGA